RNAcentral lists this long non-coding RNA (44545 nucleotides) under Malus domestica (apple). Its description in RNAcentral is "long non-coding RNA (MDOM_LNC016063)". Lineage: Eukaryota; Viridiplantae; Streptophyta; Magnoliopsida; Rosales; Rosaceae. The record is from RNAcentral.
UUUACGUGUGUAGAGAUCCCAAAGAUGUGUUUGUUUCACUUUGGCAUUUCUCGAACAAACUGAGGCCCGUGGGUAGUGGAACCAUGUCACUUGACGAAGCGUUCGAUAAGUUCUGCCGGGGAGUGAAUACGUCCGGACCCUUUUGGGAUCACGUACUAGGGUUUUGGAAGGAGAGCUUAAAGAGGCCUGAAAGUGCAUUUUUCAUCAAGUUUGAGGAAAUGAAACAAGAGCCCGCUCUUCAUCUGAGGAGGCUGGCCAAGUUCUUGGGGUGCCCAUUUUCUCCGGAAGAAGAGACACAUGGAGUUGUGGAUGGUAUCUUAAGGUUGUGUAGUUUUGAAAAUUUAAGCAAUUUGGAUGUGAAUAAAAGUGGGAUAUUGUCGUCUGGUAUGGAGAAAAGCGCAUUCUUUAGGAAAGGUGAAGUUGGAGAUUGGAUGAAUUAUUUGACCACUGAGAUGGUGAAAAAACUAGACUCUAUUACUCAAGAGAAGUUUCAUGGUUCCGGAUUAAAGUUCUAGGGUUUGCAUCUUUUUUCUUUCUGUGUGAGUCUUUCUCUUUGUGGGUGAGUUUUUCUUCUUGUGCGAGCGAGUUCUUCAAAUUCUAGUAAAUCAUUUUGCCGCCGGCCCUAGCCAUGACUUGAUUCGGUGGCAGCUCUUUUCCUCUUUUUUCUUCUUGUUUUUCUCCUCUGCUGCUCUCUGUUUUCCGGCCCAUUGUUUCCUUUUGUAUCCACUCCCUUGUGCCUUUGAUUUAACCAGCCUCUGCGCGCAAUCGGAAAGCUUCUUUUUCCGAUUUCCCCUUUCUUCUGUUCCCACUUAUCUAUCCACCCUCACGCAUCUGCUCAAACCAAUUUCUUUCUCUCCCACUUGGAUUCGUCCUCUCCCCACUCCUCAAUUGCGUCAUUCCGCAAUCAUUUUGUUUAGUCGUGUUUCACGGCCAUAUUAGAUUGUGCGUAGUGCUUCGGCUCGGAUUUUACACCACCAAUUUCCUCCUGUGUGUUGAUCUCGACACUGCUACCUGUUGGGGUAGUUUCCUUUCCUUCUCUUGGUGGCUGCUGUUCCAACAUGUGGGGUGUUUGCUAGAGGAUGAUGAAAUUUAUAUUAUUUAAUUUUUGUUUCAUGGCUUGGUUAGUUAUUAUCUCGACGGCGGAAGAGGAUCCAUGCAUUUAGGGUUUCUUUGUGUGUUUUUCUGUGUAGGGCUCACCUUUGGGUUGGGAUUUUCUUUUGUAGUUGUUUUGGAGGUCAUAAUGUUGUAGUGUGCUUUGUGUGUUUUUUGGGCCUCCACUCUUGUAUGUGUGGUGUGUUGGUAAUAAAAUGUCACAUUUUGAACCAAAAAAAAAAGUCCUACUGUUUAUGACAUCUUUAUUUAUUUGAGCGGGAAAUCAUUAAUGAGUAAGAGAAAGAAGGAAAGUGUAUGGGAUCAACUAGUUCCCUAGUAGUAAUAAUCCUUGACGUUACACAUAUCAACUAAUUACCUAGUAGUAACUCAUCUCUAUUUUUUCAUGUGUAGCAUAGGAGAAAUCUGGAAUUAGAAUAAUCUCAGUACGCAUGUUUAAUAAACGUUGGAAUAAGUUGCUAAUAGAAUGGUUGAAUUAUUAGUUCCAUAUAAGUAAAGAUAAACUAGUGCUUAAUAUUUUUCAUCAUCAUCUCUGUAAAUCUAUAAUCCUACUCUAAUGACUAAAACUACCACCAGUUCCACCUUCCUAGGAAGUUUGAUCACUACAAAAAAAGACAAUAGUCACGCUUUUGAAAGUAUCGAAGGAGUGAAGGAGUGAACGUAACUUGAAUCACCAACUCUGGCUCUCUUUCUCGCUCCCUCAGACUUUUCCUUCUUCGAUUUGCAUCAUAUCUGUUUUUUGUUCUCGGUUUUAAUUUGAAUCUUUGAAAUUUGACUUAUAUAUUUGAGAUCUCAUCUUGUUGUUCAUGGAUUUGACUUUUCAAGAGCUUUUUUUUUUUUUUUUCAAUUUACCAACCCCAACAUGCAAUUUUAGGAUUAUUAAUACCAUUCAUCGCUUUCAUCUCCAUCCAUCGUUACCUGCUGUAUUCUUUCUUCCUAAAACUCAAGCAUAAAUUCGGACAUUAAUAUUAAAACAAAGAAUAAAUGGAAGCUUAGAAGUCAAAAAGCAUAACACCCGCCCCCCCCCCCCCCCCCCCCACAUAAAAAAAAAAGGAUGUUCAGUUGCUUCAUCAAAUACUAUCCAUUGUUUCACAAAAAAAGGUGAAAGGGAAAACGUCGUCAUUUUGUCAAAUAGUUAGAAGGCUAAAUACAGCACAAACAACAUUAAUUCAUCCUUAAACUACUAGCUUACAUGGGCUUCCUUCAAAGCUCGAAUCCUUUGCACUCCUUGACAGAGCUGGGAAUAUAUACUUUCAGGGAAUCUUUUGUAAAAAUCUCAGUCUCCAGGAAUUUCUUUAGUAUAUAACUUACCUUUGGCAUACAACAAUUUGUACGCUACAUAUUAAUGAUUUAUUGAAAAGAAAAGAAAAAAUUGGUGAAAUGCAAAUACAAAGGAAAAGCAAAACCUAUAAGGGAAAGUACGUAUGAAAUAUAAAAAAUGUUAUUCUUAUCAUCUAUGUGUACUAUCAUUUGUAUCAUUUUUUUAAUAGAGAUAAGACUACACAUGUUGGCGGAUUCUAUUUUUAUUAGAAAGAUACUACAAAUAGAUGAUAAGUAUGGAAUUGAAUUCUCUCCUAAGCCCAAGGAAAGGAUCCUCCUGACCAAAGAUCUUGGACCAUUGGAUUUUCAUCAAACGACUAUAAUAUAACUUUAAAGAGACCUCCCUGUUUGUAACCAUUGAAUAAAAAUUCUAACAAUCCAAAAACCUUGGUCAGGAGAAGAGGAUCCAAUUCCGAUAAGUAUAAUAUGACUCAGACAAAUAUUACGGUCCGCAGAUUCUGCAUAGAUCCAGAAAGGAUACCAGUUCCAAUAAAAGUGGAUAAAGCUGCAGAUGUGGGCGCAAUAAAGUGGAAAUCUCACCUCAAUAUCCUAAACCCUAGAAUAAAAAAAAUUCUCUAUGGAUAUCUCUUAACACUUAGCUAAUUCCAAACAAGUGCACAUCGUAAUGCGAAUAUCCGGAAAUGAAUAAAGUUUUUAAUUUUUAUGGAAAUGAACUUGUGUUUCUUGCAACAAAUACGCUCUGGGUCUCUUUGAUAAUUUGACAUAAAAUACCCACACCACCAAGUCAAUUCUUAGUCGCUUUGGUCCGUGCUCCCUCCUUGCCAAUUUCGGCUACGGGGGUGUGGCUAGGGGUGGAUGGGUGUAGUAGAUGGCGGAUCGACGGGGUAGAUUUUGUUGGGCUCUUGUACGUAUCGUUUAUGUGGCAUCAAAGUAUUGGUUGAGUGGGUUCAUUAUGUGCCAUAUCAAUAAAUUAACAGAAAAUUCACCGAAUUUGGAUAACAAAGAUUACAUGGAUGUGAGAUAGUUAAAUUCUGUAAGAUUAACUCAGUGUUGUUGUACUGUAUAUUAACUACAUUGAGGAAGAAUCAAAGAGCGAAAAAGAAUGUAGGAAAAUGAAAAACUUGAGAUAGAAACAAUUGAGAGAGAGAAAGAAUAAAUUGUAUGAAUUGUAUUUCAGACUUAAUGAAUUGAAUCCUUACAAUUACAUAGCUUUUAUACACACAUAUAUCCAGCUUAACAACUUUAGUAUGAUAUGGCAGCUUCACUAACUAGCCAAUGUUGAGCUGUCAUUUAUUGAUACUCAAAACUAUAUUGGGACGGGAUGUUUUUAUGCACGUAUUAGACAUACAUAUAUUGGUACGUGAUGUUUUUAUUCACGUAUUAGAUUUAACGCUAGCUUUCGUAUAAGCACAUUCUACAUCCCUUUCUCAACGAUAUGUAUUUUUAUGUUAUCAGAAGAGUAACUCAAUGUCAUUGUACUACAUCUUUCUGUAGCUUGCUUCGGUGUUCAUGUAAUAGGAUCAGAGUAUAUGCCGCUACUUGGCUCCGACGAUUCAACUUCCUUCUUAUUGGCAGUGCCCGAUGUUGAAAUAUCAUGUAAUUCCUGAUUGUCACAUUCUCAUUCUGACUAAUUAAUUACUUAUAAUCUAUGAGUGUUCUAGUUAAUUUAGGAGAAGAGUUCUUGAUUUCGACAAGGGUUGUAUUUCAAGGAGCUUAUAUAGGCACUUGCAUUUUGUUCGGAUGUAUUUGCGGUUCAUGUAAGAACUUGUUAACAAACAAACACCAAGACCAAAACAUGAACCACAAACAAAAGGAAACCAACCCAGUUAUGUGCACAUAAAUAACCAGAAAGGAAAACAUACCUGCAGCUGCACCAGAACUCGUAGCCAUUGCAGCGAACUUUCAGUGAUCCUUCUCUUCUCUUGCAGAUUGUCAAGAGCUCGACUCACAGAUAGGUUAUGGUCCAAUAUGAGCGUUAGUUCUGUGAGAAGAGAGGUCACUAUAUAUAUACAUAUAGACUUCACCAAAAUAGAUCAGGAUUUCCUAUCAAAAUCCUCAUCGGAAACAAACACUUGUUUCCUGAUGCUAACCAAAAUCCUUUUCAGUCAAGGAUCAGCAUUCCUUUCAUCAAUAGGACUUUCUAUCCAAAUUGAAUACCUAUAACCUGUCCUAAAACUUCUCUAUCUCAUACUCAUAUUCUUACAUUCUCCCACUUGAGUAUGAGAACAGUUUCAAGUACUCAGUUUAUCCAAUCAUACUUAGAUAGAAGUGAUCACUAACAGAUAAUCAUCUCAAAUUAUUAUAAAGGUGAUCACAUAAUUAAGUCAUUCACCAACACACAAAUACAUAGACAUAACCAGCUUACAUAAACCAAAACAAUGAAUUUAUAAUUGCCUCUGCAACAUAAAAUACAGAUUUAACUUACAAAUCACAAUGUCCAGUUCAUGUUCAUAGCAAUGUAUCUAAGCUCAAAAGUAAACCAAGACAUCUGCUCCCACUCAUAUAGCCACCAAAUCUUUUGGAUAACAAAAGUUUAACCUCACAUACAUCUUACCCAUGCAUUUUAAAGUAUUGAACUUAAGAAUCUUUUCUGUUACAUCGCAGAAUUAACUCAAAAGUCACAACAUACUUAAUUUGCACUUUGUAAUUAUGUGAACCAAUAUAGCAAAACCAAACCAAUUUGCUCCCACUUAUCUAGGCUAUACUUAACACAAACAAGUUAAGUAUAAGUUAAUAUCAACUGUAUUAACUAACAGUCAUUGCAAUACACUGAAUGUCUUAUCAAUGUGAUCAAUUGCCGCAACCAAUAUGCAAACAAAUUUCAUGAUCACAUUCAUUCAAUUUGUAUUUACAACAAUGUGAUUUUACUUGACCAGAACAAACACAUAAAUUGAUUUGCUCCCACUAUAUCAAGUUAAGUUUAGUUCCGGCAAAUAACACUAAACUUCUCAUUACUUAAACAAAUUAAGUAACAUAAAUAAUUACCAAUUGCUUCAAUAAAACCAUAAUCUAGUUUUCAAGCAUCCAAAUGAAUUAUAAUGGCCGGCCUAAGUAACCUUAUGCUUACAUUCGAACAUAUGAUUCUCCCACUUAAGCAUAAGCAGAAUGUACUGCACAGCCAAUAAAGAAACCGGAGAUAUGAACCAAUUGAUUCCCGAUUCCUUACCAAUUGCAUAAUCUCAGUUUAGUCAAAUACACCUAAACCAUUAUGCAAACAGUCUAUGUAUCAAAAGAUAGUCACAAUCCAUUCGGAAAAACUUAUCUCACAUAAACCCAAAAUCACCAGUUUCAACAAUGAUCAAAAUCAGAAUAGCAAGCACAAUAUUCUUGCAUUCAAUUUGAUCCUAACUAGUUCAAUACCCAUCGAGCAAGAUCAACUAAAAUUUGAUAAUGUCUGGAUAUAAAGGCACAAGUCAUCUUGAUUAAAACAAGAUAAUCAAGAUCUCAACCUCCCUUUUUUUUUUUUUUUUUUUUUUUUUUUAAGGAACUUAAGAUAAUCGUCCAAUAAAAUUUAGUGUACUUAUAGAUUUAAUACAUAAUAUCAAAUCUCUUACACUUACACUUACAAUAUAUCAAGUGAGAUGAGUUUCAGAAUGCAUUCUUGCCAACAAACAACUUAUAUCAUUUCAUACAGGUACUAACACAAGAGCCUUCACAUGUUUUUAGUUAUACAGUGCACAUAUUGGCAUUAACAAACCCAAAGAUUCUGAACUACAUCAUUCACAUAUAUGGCAACACCCCCAAAAUCUAUUAUAUGUAGUCUAACCAAAAUUGGAAUAUGAAUUACACUCAUAAUUUUAAAAACGUCAUUAUGGAUACUCGUAUAAUCCAAUUUUGCUUUUCUAGAAUAAUUCAAACCAAUCAGACCCACAUAAAAGCCACAGGUAUUUGGUAGCAACAAUAAGUCAAAUUCUAUUAUCAUAAUUCAUAAUGGAAAAUCAUGAAUGCAAGCUUCUAAGUUUCAAGCAAGUUAAUGAGAAAUCUUACAUCUGCUUGAGACAACAAAAUAGCUACAAAACAAUAUUUUCCACCCAAUCUAAUUACACAAGCUCUAACUCAAAAAUAGAAGAGCAAUGUGUACAUCAAAUAUUAGUCUAAUGAAUCUUUAUGCAGAAAGAAUGAUUCCAGUCAUCUCACAUAAAUCAUAAGUUGGCAUCUAUAGGGAUUUCGAGUUUAAUCGUGCCUUCACAAAAUAAACAAGCAUACUCGGAAUAGCAAAAGCCCUAAUUCAUUAUGCUCAAACUCAUCGCACUAUAAUCACGCAUAUAGGAGAACAAUUAAUUAUGCAUGAAACAGUGAACUGAGUUACCUGAAUGCAUCAUUGGACUCAUAUUCGACAACCCGAUCGCAAUUCCUCGGCUCCAAAUCAAUGAAACAAAUUAUCCAUCAAUGCUCAAGACCCAUCCAUACGGAUUGCCAUUACUCCCAAUUCCCAUGGACCUCGUACCAUUGCAAUAAUAGAAUGACGAACGAGUUAACGUCAAUAUGAAGAACCAGAAUAAUAAUAUAAUCUCAAUAUGCAGAUAACAUGAUCUUUGUUCAAUGGUUUUUAACAACAUAAUUAGUUGAUCAUAAUACAUCUUUAUUCUUACAAAGGAUUAAGAAACCACAAUUACCUCAAUCUGUAGAACUCAUAAUAAACACAGCGGAAGCAAUAAUUCUCAACAAUUAGAACUAUGAUGUUUAAGAUAGAUGUAUACAACUAAAUUACUAUACUUAUCAUCAAAUAAGCAAAUCAUGGAAAAAAAAUUUUCUCAACCCCAUAUUGACAAAACACGAGUUUCUCCCUUUCCAGACUAAUCACGGUCAAAAAUUGAACUAAAGGUUAUUUCUUAAACGGUGUCGUACCACUCGCCUUUAAAAACCAAUUAAACAGACUUGUUCUUCAAACCAGUUCGUAUGCUGCAGCAAUCAUAUAAUCCUUAGACACCAAAUAAUGGUGUCUCAUAUAUGUGAUAAACAGUUUAAAACGAUCAAAGUUAAAUCAAGGUCCAAAAUUUGUAUUCAAAACUGAUAUCUUUAAUAUGUUUCUGCAGCAAUCAAUUAAAACAAACUGUAGCGACAAAACUCAUUCAUAUGCUCUUAAACAUACACAGGUAUCAGAGAGAAUCGAAAGCAUCGAAAGCACUUAUCUCCAUACCUUUUAAUCACUGAUUUCAAAUUCACGAAAGGAACCGCGGAAGCGAUUUAGAAUUUGAAAAAUAGAAGAUUUUAACAUUUUAAGGAAAAACCCAGAUCGAUAUUCAUUGAAGGAAUCAAAACUGACCGUAAUCUGGGAAAAACUCUCAUUCGGCAAUGGUUUAUAGAGCCGUUAUUUAUUUAUUUAUUUAUAAACACAUUCGACUUUUCUCCUUUACAGAUUUGAACUCAUGUUUGUGUCUUGCGGCUCUGAUACCACAUGUAAGAACUUGUUAACAAACAAACACCAAGACCAAAACAUGAACCACAAACAAAAGGAAACCAACCCAGUUAUGUGCACAUAAAUAACCAGAAAGGAAAACAUACCUGCAGCUGCACCAGAACUCGUAGCCAUUGCAGCGAACUUUCAGUGAUCCUUCUCUUCUCUUGCAGAUUGUCAAGAGCUCGACUCACAGAUAGGUUAUGGUCCAAUAUGAGCGUUAGUUCUGUGAGAAGAGAGGUCACUAUAUAUAUACAUAUAGACUUCACCAAAAUAGAUCAGGAUUUCCUAUCAAAAUCCUCAUCGGAAACAAACACUUGUUUCCUGAUGCUAACCAAAAUCCUUUUCAGUCAAGGAUCAGCAUUCCUUUCAUCAAUAGGACUUUCUAUCCAAAUUGAAUACCUAUAACCUGUCCUAAAACUUCUCUAUCUCAUACUCAUAUUGUUUGUACCAUACUUGACCAAUCCCGAAACUACCGAGCACCGGCCAACGCUAUACUGUCAAGGACCCAGAAGAGUUCCCCUCCGACCAGGAGGCCAAUCACUACUCGACACGUGUCAAGAUUAGAAGCCAAUCAGAGCGCAGCACGUGUCGACAUCAAGAACCAAUCAUAACAUGACACAUGUCAAUGUGACAAAGCUACAAGUUUUUCUAUAAAUAGGGGUCAUUCCCCCACAAUAUGGCCUAAUGCCAUUUGUGUUAAAUCAUUCAUAAGAACUCACUAAAUUGAGAGCUUGAUCCUUUGUACUUGUAUAAGCCCUUCACUACUAAUAAGAACUCCUCUACUCCGUGGACGUAGCCAAUCUGGGUGAACCACGUACAUCCUGUGUUUGCUUCUCUGUCUCUAUUCAUUUACGUACUUAUCCUCACUAGUGACCGAAGCAACCAAGCGAAGGUCACAAAACCUGACACUUUCUGUUGUACCAAAGUCUUCGCUGAUUUUGUGCAUCAACAUUUGGCGCCGUCUGUGGGAAACGACACUUAUUCCUACUCUCUUCAGCUGUGUCAAGCUGGUUUCUAUCAUUCGUACACUUUCUUUUGAUCAGGCAUCCCUCUCCAGCAUGGGAAGUGAAGGAAGCCACAGCACACAGAAUGACACCCCCCUUGCACAUAGUGCGAAACAACGAAAGAAGGAAGGAAAACGAGUUCUUCUUCAAGCUAAAGUCGAUGAGUUGGAAGCUCAGAACAACAAGAUAGCAAUGAGGAAUGAGGUCCUCCAGGAGCAAUAUGAGAAGCUCUUCGAGACACUCCACGAAGCUAGGCAAGCUCAGACACGCGAGCUUGUUGCCCCCGUGGAAGUCAACCAUCAACUGGGUGCCCUCCAACAUGGAGGGUCACAUGCAUUCGACAUAGAUAUCCCUGAUAGGGAACAGAUUACCCCUCGACUUGAUAAUCAACAUGAGGCUUCUCUUAACCCAGUUGCUUCGACCCGAACCAUGAGAAGUGGAGGGAGACACCUCUUUGCUGAAGGGGCAGAAGGAUCGAAAGCCGUCUUUCGCGAUUGUCGGGAUUUCCUGAAGCAACGUCGAGAGAAUUCCAUCCAUAUAAGCUCAAAGAUUAAUGACCCAAGGAUUUCUGAGAGACUCGGUCCCCUGCCACGGCCCAAGCCGGCCACCAAUUUGGGGAAGGGGCAACAAGUCCUAGAGAGACAUGAGGGUGCAGGGGACUCAGAGGUGUUCCGACAGACAUACCCUGGAAGCCAGUACAGCGAGUCCAGGGAAAAAUCACAUGCCCUUGAUCAGACCUUCCUAAUUCCAAGAGGAGAUGGAGAUUUACGAAAGAAAGCUCCAGUGACACAUAACUCCGCUCAGGACCCCCUUGUCCUACAACUUCUUGAGGAAGUAAACAAGUUGAAGGCUGAACGUCAGGCUGAAAUACCUGACUGGAACCAACCCAGGCCUGGCCCUCUUACAAGGAGGAUCCUCAACACCCCCCUUCAAGCAAAAGACAAAGCAAAAGCUUGGCUUGCAACUUUUAUACUGGAAAAGAGGACCCGAUUGAGCACCUUAACCUCUUUGAAUCCACCAUGGCAUACCGGAUGCACACCGACGAAGAGCGAUGUCUUCUCUUCCCCUCCACCCUCUCUAGUGGAGCUCUAAAUUGGUAUUGUCGUCUUACACCUGAGACGGUAGACUCAUUUGAGGAAUUGAGGAAACUAUUUGUUUCCCAACACAUUUUCCAAACCGAUCGCUUGCACUCUGCAGAUGACUUGUACACUAUCCGCCAGAAGCCAGACGAGUCAUUACGUAUGUAUGCUGGCCGCUUCAGCCAUGAAUACUCCCGGUGUGUCGAGGCAGAUGACAAGACUGCCCUCAAAGCCUUCACGGCAGGCCUACGUGAUUGUUUCUUUAAAUACAUGAUCAAUGCCAAUACUUGGAAGACUUACUCUGAGGUGAUGGCGCAGGCUUAUAACCAUGCCUCCGCCGAGGCAAAGACAUAUCAGGAGAAACCCCCUACAACCAUCUUUUAUCAACAAGUGGGAGGUGGAAGCCAGACUCACCUAAAUGAGAAGACCUCGACUUUCCAAACAGCAGUGGCACCUCCCCAUGCCUUGCAUAAUGCUUCACCGAAUCAACAGACAUAUCAAUUUCAAGGCAAGAGGAAGGAUUUCCAUCCUCACCACUCUCCUUUCAGUAAAAAGAGUAAGGGACACUAUCCCGAUAACCAAGGGUAUAGCCACAAUAACGCUCGCCCCCAGGCAGUCAAUGCAGUGGGUCAAACCCGCGUCAAGAUACCCCCUACCCCAAGGUAUGAGACAUACACGCCCUUGAAUGCCACAUGCGCGGCCAUUUACCCCAGCAUAGCUCACCUGAUACCAAAGCGAAAGCCGAGGCACCCAGAUUACAUGCCCCCGAAUAACGCGGGCAUGUUUUGUUGCUACCAUGAGCAUAACGGCCAUGAUAGCGAGAAAUGUAUCAUCCUCCGUGAUCGUAUUGAAGCUUUGGCACGAGAAGGAAAAAUUGAUCAAUUCCUUCUUCACCCUCAAAGGGAUAACCGUAACCAACGCCAGGUGAAUGUCAUAUAUUCCAUAAGUGGUGGCACAUCCAUAUCUGAAUCUUCCAAUAGGGCCAUGAAAAACAGUGAACGAAGUCUGAGGCCUGGUCACCAAGUGUUUCACGUGGAAGACAUCAGGGGAGGGAAGUAUCAAAAACCUAACUGGGAUCCGAUAUGUUUCUACCCUGAGGAAGAAAGAGGCAUCAUCUACCCUCAUAACGACCCAUUGAUCGUGGAGGCUCACAUAGCCAACUUUGAUGUUCGACGAAUCCUCGUAGACACAGGGGCUUCGGUCAAUAUCAUGUUUGCCGAAGCUUUCAGGGCACUCAGUGUAGCUGAACACUUGCUCGAUCGCUCGAUUUCUCCUCUGAUAAGCUUCUCCGGUGAUAUCGUGCAACCCUUAGGGAGCAUACAUUUACCCUUUACUAUUGGUACAGGCCCUUACACGGCUACCAUUACCACUAACUUCCUAGUGGUUGACUGCCCAACGGCAUACAAUGUCAUCUUUGGGCGCACAGGCAUCAAUGAUCUCAAGGCUAUGGUAUCCACGCAUAUGCUGUUGAUGAAAUUUCCAACCCCCCAUGGCAACGGCUACAUCAGAGGAGAUCAGCUUAGUGCACGAUCAUGUUACAACACUUCAGUUAAGCAACAACACUUGCCCGGACCCAAGGAAACCAUGUCUGUACAUGACCAAGUCACAAAGACCAGCCUAGAUGAAGCGACCUUGGAUCUUCCUGAUAGCAACAAUCAACCCGAUGAUCCUUGAGAUGACUCUUUCACCCAGCAAGCCCAACCUGCUGAAGAGUUGGAGAAGGUACCUAUCUCAAGAGAUCAUCCAGACCGCAUGGUGAAUAUUGGCACCACAUUGUCACCACCCAUUCGGUUAGCAUUGAUAUCUUUUUUGAAAGAGAACACUGAAGUCUUCGCCUGGUCAUACGAGGACAUGCCAGGCAUCUCUCCCGAUGUCAUCUGUCAUCGUUUGAGUAUUGACCCCAAGAUCAAGCCGGUGAGACAGAAGCGAAGAUCUUAUGACGCUGAACGAUACGAGGCAAUGAAAGCAGAAGUUGAAAAACUCAAAGGCAUAGGCUUUGUCCGCGAGGUCAAUUACCCGACAUGGGUAGCAAAUGUGGUCCUUGUUAGGAAAAAUCCGACCAAAGAAAGUCUUUCACUUCAAAAGGUCUUGUGGAGGAUGUGUGUUGACUACACCGACCUAAACAAAGGGUGUCCGAAAGAUAGUUUCCCUCUUCCUCUUAUUGACAGGCUUAUAGACUCUACGGCAGGGUGUGAGCUCUUGAGCUUUAUGGACGCUUAUUCAGGAUACAACCAAAUCCUCAUGAACCCCUCAGACCAAGAACACACGGCCUUCACUACUGACAGGGGACUAUAUUGCUAUAAAGUCAUGCCUUUCGGCCUAAAGAAUGCAGGAGCAACUUAUCAGAGACUGGUCAAUUCAAUGUUCGCCGAACAAAUUGGUAAGAACAUGGAAGUUUACGUUGAUGAUAUGCUAGUCAAAAGCAAACAUGCUGACCAACACAUCACCGACCUAUCUGAAACUUUCACCAUUCUAAAGAGGUAUCGAAUGAGGUUGAACCCCAACAAAUGUGCCUUCGGCGUGGGCUCUGGCAAAUUCUUAGGCUUCAUGAUUAGCCAACGAGGCAUUGAAGCUAACCCUGAAAAGAUCAAAGCAAUCCUCGACAUGAAAGAGCCAAUAACUUCAAAAGACAUCCAAAGCCUUACUGGCAAGGUGGCAGCCUUAACCAGAUUCAUCUCUAAGGCCACAGACAGAUGUGCUCCUUUCUUCAAAGCACUCAAGGGAAAUAAGAAGUACAUUACAUGGACGGAGGAAUGUGCCAAGGUAUUCAGGAACCUCAAAGAGUACAUGAGUAAAGCCCCUAUGCUCUCCAAACCAGAAGUUGGUGACACUCUCAUCAUCUAUCUAUCGGUUUCGGCUUCAGCAGUCAGUUCUGUUCUUAUUCGAAUGGACAGUGGUGUCGAACGGCCCGUCUACUACGCUAGCAAGGCCCUACAAGAUGCGGAGACACGAUACUCCAACAUUGAGAAAUUAGCUCUAGCAUUGGUCAUGUCUGCUCGGAAACUUCGCCCUUAUUUCCAAGCACACGCCAUCAUCGUGCUUACCAAUCACCCUCUUCGACAGAUACUCCAGAGUCCUGACACGUCUGGGCGAAUGAUCAAAUGGGCGAUAGCAUUGGGUGAGUUUGACAUCUCCUACCAACCAAAACCAGCCGAAAAAGGUCAAGCAGUAGCAGAUUUCAUCGCCGACUUCACAUAUCCUGUUGACAUUGCUUCUACACCUGAAGCAGUAGCUUCAUUACCAUCGGAAGCUCAGAAAGUAGAAUCAACGACCUCAGCAUGGAGUCUGUAUGUUGAUGGCUCAUCCAACCAACAGGGCUGUGGAGCGGGACUAGUCUUGACUACGCCCGACAAAGUAGCAAUGGAGUAUGCUCUUCGUUUCAAAUUCAAGGCAUCAAACAAUGAGGCCGAGUAUGAAGCCCUUCUAGCAGGAUUACGUUUGGCCAAACACCUCGGGGUUAAACAAAUUGAUGCUAAGGACAGCUCCAUGGCAGCAUAUCUUGCGCAAACACAACUUUUGCUCAAGCACUUCCACUACCAGAUCACCCAAGUUCCUCGAGCGGCAAACAGUCAUGCAGACGCCCUGGCUCGCCUCGCCUCAGCUGUGGAAGACAAGAUUGGAAGAAAAAUUCAUGUCGAACUGUUGGCAACACCAAGCACCAUGGCCGCAGAAGUAUGCAACUUACAACAGGGGGAUAGUUGGAUCACCCCGAUCUAUAAUUUCCUUGCUCAUGGCACCCUCCCAAAUGAUAAAGUCCAGGCUAAGCAAAUUCGAUACAAGUCUACCCGCUACCUGAUCAUCAAUGAUCAACUCUAUAAGCGAGGUUUUAGCCUGCCAUACUUAAGGUGUCUUACGCCUGCCGAGGCGGAAAUCGUCCUUCGGGAAAUACAUGAGGGAGUCUGUGGAGAUCAUGCUGGAUCUCGGUCCUUAGCACACAAGACUUUUCGCCAAGGAUAUUACUGGCCAACACUCCACCAGGAUGCCAUCAAAGUAUCCCGCUCAUGUGACAAAUGUCAACGAUAUGCAACUAUUCCUCAUUCCCCUCCAGAGCCUUUUACUCCUAUGAUCAGCCCUUGGCCCUUCGCCUAGUGGGGACUUGAUUUGAUCGGCCCAAUGCCGGCAGGGAAGGGCAAAGUCUGUUACGCAGUCGUUGCAGUGGACUACUUCACAAAGUGGGCCGAAGUAGAACCCUUGGCAACCAUUACUGAGGCAAAGAUAGAAGACUUCGUGUGGAAGAACAUCCUUUGUAGAUUCGGCAUUCCCAAUGCGAUAGUCACUGACAAUGGGCGACAGUUUGACAACAAGAAGUUCAGGUUGUUCUGCUCUAAGUUCAACAUCAACUUAUGCUUUGCCUCUCCAGCUCAUCCCCAGUCUAAUGGACAAGUUGAGGCCAUCAACAAAAUAAUCAAGCGCACUUUGAAAACCAGCUUGGACAAAGCUAAAGGCUGUUGGCCAGAAUUUGUACCCCAAGUUCUUUGGUCAUAUCGCACUUCAUAUCGCACUUCAACAGGAGAAACUCCAUUCUCACUUGCCUUUGGCACAGAGGUGGUUGUCCCUGUUGAGCUCGAGCAAGCAACAUUCCGAGUCCAGAACUACAUUCAAAGUGAAAAUGACAAACAACUCACCCUCAACUUGGAUUUAGUCGAGGAACACAGAAACCAAGCUCACUUGAGGAAUGUCGCCUACAAGCAGCGCAUCUCCAACUAUUAUGACUCUAGGGUCAAGCCUCGUUCUUUCAAAAUAGGAGACUGGGUCUUAAAGAAAAGAUUACUCUGCGACAGAGUCCCGAGUGAAGGCACACUUAGUCCAAACUGGGAUGGACCGUAUGAAGUCAUUGGCAUCAGUCGCCCUGACUCUUACACACUUAGAAGCUCCGAUGGCAAGACCCUUGGCCAUCCAUGGAACGCUGAUCACUUGAAGUACUACUACAAAUAGACUCACGAUGUACAAGUGUUGAGCUAUAGCCGUUCGGCAUCCUAUGUAAUGAAGGCCAUUUGGCAAUGAAUUCAAUAAAGAGGUAAUUUAGCCAACUCAGCCCUCACUCUUUUACAUUCAUAGCAAGCGAUGCCGGAACCCUUCUCAAUCAGAAAGCAAUCCGUCUUCCACAGUCACUACAAAACAAGCAAAUGAAGACCGUGUCAAGCGCCAAAAAAAAAAAAAAAAAAAAAAAAAAAAACAGCUUCAUCCAAAAAGCUUCACCCGAAAAGCUUCACCUCCAAAGCUUCACCCACAAAGCUUCACCUAAAAAGCUUCACCCAAAAAGCUUCACCAUCAAAGCUUCACCCAGAAAGCUUCAUCUACAAAGCUUCACCAUCAAAGCUUCACCUCGAAAGCUUCAUCUACAAAGCUUCAACACCAAAGCUUCACCUACAAAGCUUCACCUAAACAAUCUUCACCUAGAAAGCUCCCUCUACAUACUUUCAUCUACAAAGCUUCACCAUCAAAGCUUCACCCAGAAAGCUUCAUCUACAAAGCUUCACCAUCAAAGCUUCACCUCGAAAGCUUCAUCUACAAAGCUUCAACACCAAAGCUUCACCUACAAAGCUUCACCUAAACAAUCUUCACCUAGAAAGCUCCCUCUACAUACUUUCAUCUACAAAGCUUCACCAUCAAAGCUUCACCUAAACAAUCUUCACCUAGAAAGCUCCCUCUACAUACUUUCAUCUACAAAGCUUCACCAUCAAAGCUUCACCCAGAAAGCUUCAUCUACAAAGCUUCACCAUCAAAGCUUCACCUCGAAAGCUUCAUCUACAAAGCUUCAACACCAAAGCUUCACCUACAAAGCUUCAACACAAAACCUUGCUCCAAAUAAACAAAUUUUGUUCACAAAACCCAAGAUGCCCUUGAACUUGUACAAAAACACUUGGGUAAACAUAAACAUUUUUUGUUUUACACCCACAAGGGCCCAAUAUUUUCCUUCUUAUUUAUUCACUUAUAUAUGUUCCCAAACAUAUUAUAAUAGAUCCAACAACAAGCCAAAGUCCCAAGUUUCAUAAUGGACAAAAGUACAAGCAAUUCAUCAAUAAUGAAGGUGCUACAAAAAUUGGAAUCUGCCCCAAAAUAGAAAUCCAACCCAAGAGACUUUUUCUCUCUCUCCCUCUUCCGCCUCCUUUCAUCUAUCACAUUUCUGCAACCUCUGCUCUUCUCCAAUGGAGCUGAAUUUUGGACACCCUAUAGUUCUUGAGCAUAUGAACAACUUUCAAGAAGGAACCAUUUCUGUUUGAGCGACGGAAAUUAAAGUGUUGAAGCUCCAAACAUGACAGUCGGAUUCUUGCAGAUUUCGAAGCUGCUGUGAUGUUUCGAAGAUCUGGAAAUAUUUAACCAUUAGUUCAUUCUGAAUUUUUGAUAUGUUAUGAAAGAGACGAUGAGGAACAACGUCAAUGAAGAAAGCAUGCCGAUCUGAACAAUAGAAAAUGGAGUUUCGAAGCUCACAACAAAUCUGACGGGUUGACAGAAAAAUAAUAACCAGUCAUUCAUCAUACCUGGAUUUCUGGAGUUAUACUGCUCCGAGGGAUCUCAAAUUUGGAUAUGUUGUAGUUCACGAGCUGAGGAACAACUUCAAUGAAGAAAGCAUACCGAUCUGAACAAGAGAAAAUGGAGUUUCGAAGCUCACAACAAAUCUGACGGGUUGACAGAAAAAUAAUAACCAGUCAUUCAUCAUACCUGGAUUUCUGGAGUUAUACUGCUCCGAGGGAUCUCAAAUUUUGAUAUGUUGUAGUUCACAAGCUGAGGAACAACUUCGAUGAAGAAAGUAUGUUGAUCUGAACAAGAGAAAAUGGAGUUUCGAAGCUCACAACAAGUCUGACGGAUUAACAGAACAUUGAUGAACAGUUACUCAUCAUACUUGAAUUUCUGAAGUUUUACUUCUCCGAUGGAUCUCAAAUUUGGAUAUGUUGUAGUUCACAAGAUAAGGAAAAACUUUCAUGAAGACGACUUUGCAAUCUGAGCUAUAGAGAAAGGUGUUAUCUUGCAUCCACUCAGGCUGAUUAGUGGAAACGAAAAGUAAUUCCACCAAAGAAAAGAUGAAAAAGAGAGAAAAGCUACUAAUUGCAUUUGAUCUUGUCUAGUCAAUAGCAUGCAGCAUCAAACACACAAAAGUUGGAAAUAUUUUUAGAUAAAGCAUAUACGAAUGUGUGACAUCGAAACAAGGAUUCGUUACUUUGACAAAUUAGUAACACGCGAGACACCUCAUUCGGCAACUCUCUUCACCUGAAGACUUGGGGGACUCCCACCAUAUGCUACUGCACCUUGAUACUUGGCAGUCUCACAACCACUCAGUGACUUGGAUUUUUCAAGUCUCCAACCGAGAAGUUUUCCUCACUCGGGAAAUUAAGGGAACACUACCUCAAACUACAUGCUUCACUCACAAAGCUUCAACAAUACAGGUUUCAACAAAAGCAAAAAUUCAAAGAACUUUAUGAAGAAGGCUUUGGUGUAUUUAACACAAUAUGUUGAAAUGAAGCAAAGCUUAUUUAUUAAUAUUUUCGAUAAGCCACAAAUAUGUACAUAUACAUGAGUCAAAAUAAACAAACAAAAGGGAGCCUUCACAAAGGUUGCUUAGGGGAAGUCUCAGCAGUCGGUAGAGCCCCAGAAAGAGAAAGCACCGGAGGGUGGUUAUCCGGAGCCUCAGUACUUGACAAAACCCCAGAAGGAGGAGGCAUUGGAGGUUCAUCAUUUGAAGCUUCAUUACCAGGUACAGCCCCAGAGGACGAAGGCAAUAAAUGCCUUUGGAACAAACCCACAAACCGCUGAUGAUCAAGUAAAACCUUACCAUCAGAUUCCUUCAUCUGGUCAAGCUUCCUCUUCAUGUUUGUAGCAUAGUCAUGGGCGAGCCGGUGCAACUGCUUAUUCUCAUGCUUGAGCCCUCUAAUCUCCUGUUUGAGACUCAUCACUUCAGCAGCCAAUGAUUCAACUUGGCGGGUUCUAGCAAAUAGGCAUUGGGCCAUAUUAGACACAGAACCUGCACACUGAACACUAAGAGCCAGAGAGUCCUUAACAGCCAACUCAUCAGACCGUUUGGAAAGUAGUCUGUUAUCUUUGGGAGUGAGAAGGUUCCUGGCCACCACUGCAGCGGUCAUAUCAUUCUUCAUCAUAGAAUCCCCAACGGUAAGAGGACCAGUAGGGGAUAUGAAGGAUGGGCGCCAUAUGUUGUCUGGAGAAGGCGUGGCUGUCUCUUCUCCAAGGUUCAAGUCAAAACGACGGUCGGAGGGUCCAGACAUUUUCAAAUGUGUUGAAGAAGGAAGAGGUCAGACAAAUCAAGAUCUUAGAAAUGCAAGAAAUGAGCUUCUACUGGUAGAGAUUCAAGUGUGCUGUGGAACUUAAUGCCAGCCUCUAUAAAAAUCUGCACUCGACGGAGCUUCAGAAAUCGAAGAGGCAUUUGCUUUCUCAAAAGCUGGGCUGCUCAGAGACCACGAGGGCCGAUCUCAGAAAUCGAAGAGGCGUUUGCUUUCUCAAAAGCUGGGCUGCUCAGAGACCACGAGGGCCGAUCUCAAAAAUCGAAGAAGCACCUGCUUUUUCAGCCUCGUCAGCACCUGUCACAUGCACAAUCAGCUUUGCGGAAAUUACGGGCACUCUGUCGAAGAUUUCUGGUGAAGUAGAAAGCACGUGAAUCUUACUGUUCAAUCACCGCUCUCCAUAUGCACCAUCAACUCCUCGGGUACCACAUAUAACUUUGUCGAAGAUCUCUGACAAAGUUUAGGCAAGAGAAUUUCGAAGUUCCAGCUACCCUACUAUUACCCAUAAGGGUAAAGGAACAGCACCACUGCUUGACAACUGGAAAGUCCCUAUGUGUGUCGACCUCCGUGUUUUGCGGCAAGACAGGUUGGCAAGAACGUCCAACCUUUACUCACAUUCGAGAAAAGACUCCCAACAUAAUUACUUUCUCAAAAACCGGAGUAGCACCGCUUUCCGAAUCUCGAGAGUCAGAUCCUCGACGGGAUUGCUUGUUCGAAAACCGAAGAGGCACAACUCUCAGAACUUCGAGAGCCAGAUUUCCUUAGAUAGAGCUUGUCUGUAAUCUUCACACGUAACAUCAGCUUUCCAGAUACCACAUACCACUUUUUCAAAGUGCUCUGACAAAAUUAAAACACGUGAAGCUGGCAGCUCCCACUACAUUGCUGUGACCAAGAAGGGUAAAGGAAUAUCAUUACUACUUGUUAUUGGGAAAUCCCUAUAUACAUUGACCUCCCUCCUCAACGGACAGGCAAACCUGCAAAAAUGCUCAACCCUUUCUCGCAUUCGAAAAGGCACCCUCAACAUAACCUCUCGAAAUACUCAGCUUUAUUUCCCCCCGAUAAUACCUCAGCAAAUAAGCCACACCAAGAACAAGAGUAUCUCAUAUCAUCAGGGUCGAAAGCAAGAGUAUCCCAUAUCAUGCUUUCUCCCUAUCUUUGUCUUUGUCCUUGUCCACACCUGCAGGACAAGGAGAAAGAGAGCAGUCAGUCGGAACCUGAAAUCAAACCUCCAAUUUGGAACUGACUGCCUGGAGCCUUUGCCUGGUUGCUUACUUAGCAUUGCUCUCGAGUACUCAUCAUCAACUGCUGUCAAGGUCACGAAUUCCACCGGCAAAUACCUCAUGACAGUUGAUCAGAUAUUGGCUCUUUACACUGAAGCUGCCAAGCGUGGAUGAGUCACUAUGAAGGAAUGUUCUGAAGGACCAUUUAAAUGCAAAGGUUGCACACCACUUCUGCCAUGCAAAAGAUUGAAGCAGAAGGUUCAACGGUGAGCUGAAACAGAUCACUACAGCACGACACCUUUCCAUACCACAUUCAUUAUUCCGUCAACAGCAAAAGUAUCCCAUAUCAUCAAGGUCGAACGUACUCUAGAUUUGAUGGACUUGUUUUGACCCUCAAAUUUUUGAGUCGGCCUUAUACUCUGAAGGGCACCAGAAAACCCUCAAGCACAGUUCAAGAAUAAGCCUGUGGAAAGUUACUUCUUCAAAAGCAAAAGUAUCUCAUAUCAUCUCUUAUCCAUUUGCUUCUCCUUAUCCUGGCAGUUGAAUGAGAGACAAGGAGAAGGAGAACAAUCAACCGGAAGCCGAAGUCAAACCUCUGAUCCUGGGUUGUUUACUUGGAAGUUUGACUGCUUACCUUGUCUGUCACCUCUUUCGGCAAAUCUCCUAGCUCGGCGACUUGGGGGACUCCUACUAUAGGGUUUGUAUCACACUUGACUAAGCCCGAAACUACAACUAAGCUUUAAGUGAAAUUGAUACAUUACCUUGUGCGUCAACAUCAGCUAAGUACACCAUUCCCGGAUGGAGGAAAGGUACUUCCAGAGAAGGGCAGAUGAAGAUCAGACCACACUUCGGUACUUAGAAGUUUCGUGAUUACUCAAGGGAUUGGAUCUUGCAAGUCCCCAACCGAGGAGUUUCCCUCACUCGGGAACUUAGGGGAGCACUGUUUGUACCAUACUUGACCAAUCCCGAAACUACCGAGCACCGGCCAACGCUAUACUGUCAAGGACCCAGAAGAGUUCCCCUCCGACCAGGAGGCCAAUCACUACUCGACACGUGUCAAGAUUAGAAGCCAAUCAGAGCGCAACACGUGUCGACAUCAAGAACCAAUCAUAACAUGACACAUGUCAAUGUGACAAAGCUACAAGUUUUUCUAUAAAUAGGGGUCAUUCCCCCACAAUAUGGCCUAAUGCCAUUUGUGUUAAAUCAUUCAUAAGAACUCACUAAAUUGAGAGCUUGAUCCUUUGUACUUGUAUAAGCCCUUCACUACUAAUAAGAACUCCUCUACUCCGUGGACGUAGCCAAUCUGGGUGAACCACGUACAUCCUGUGUUUGCUUCUCUGUCUCUAUUCAUUUACGUAUUUAUCCUCACUAGUGACCGAAGCAACCAAGCGAAGGUCACAAAACCUGACACUUUCUGUUGUACCAAAGUCUUCGCUGAUUUUGUGCAUCAACACAUAUUCUUACAGUUCAUGAUCAUUAUCUUUGGUUGCUGCUUGAUGAACAAUUCCUGCUUAUGUUUUCUUAGUAAAACAGUUGGCUUUAGCUUAUGUGGAUUAGAUUUGUAGAGCUUGGAUCGAAACCCGUUGACACGACGUUCACAUGAGAAUGUAGGAUGGCCCCUUCCUGUUAAUUUCUUAUAGGUUAUCUGUUUGAUAUUGAUGAAACAAAGUUAUAUAGCAUGUUGCUUUAGUUAAAUCAAAAUAUGCGAAUAUGUCCCUAUAAAACUAUAAAUUUAUAAUUAAUGUUGCUGCUGUUUUCUCGAGUAGAUGAUAAAUUAUUCAGAUACUCAUAUUUUCACCUUACUUGCGAUUUGUGUGCAUGGUUAGUUCGACGAACCAUGAUGGAACACUGAGGCAGCUACUGUAUCAAGGCUAUAACAAUAUAACCAUAUAACAUAAACUAGAAGCACAAGAUAUGGAUACACAUAGCUAUGUUAGAUGAAUGGUGUAACUGACGUACCUUGCCUUGUUGCGCAAUUUUUGCUACCCACCUACAAGAAACCACAAAAGCCGCAGUUUAGUAUUGAACUCGCUGAAAAUAUAUAUCAUCAUUGCAUUCAUGUGAGUUGAACAUAUUGAUACCUUCUCCUUCCAAGUGUUGUUAACCCAUGUAAUCAUCUGCAUUUACGUUGAUACUUGAGGAGAUAGACUUGUGCUUUUGGCAUACUUUUCAUCCUUGGCCACUAGGCAAGAAUUUACUCUUACAAUUAAUUUCAAUAGGACUAGUCUUAAUUCUGGGCUGAUUCUCUAGUUGAAAGUUUUGGGAAGACUUAGAGUGGGCUGAAAUGCCUUUAGCCUUUCCAUGCCACACUGAAGACGAGUCUUACCUAGGAUACCUUAGACCUUGACAAAAAUAUACUUAACAACUUACAUAACACGAACACUGUUCUAAAAAUCCCCGCCUAGCGCUGCCUAGGCCCCACCUAGGCGCUAGGCCCCAACCCACCGCCCCGAUUAAUGCCUAGGCCCCAGCCCACCGCCUAGACCACCUAGGCACCCGCCUAGCCCGCCUAGACCCGCCUAAGUUGCAACUCACUUAGAUAGAAAAUACAUAACUUUCAUUUUGCAUUUUGUUUUUUUCCAAUAAAUUGUAAAAGACUUGUUGCAUACUUGAAUGAACAAACAUUAUAUCCUUAUUUCACAUGUUUUCAUUAUGUUCCAAUACUUCAUGAUAUAUAUGCAUUCUAUUUUGUAGUUUAUGAUGAAAUUAUAUACAUUUCAAGUAGAAGCAGACACUUAUUUACCUGAAUAUGAUAGAUUUACUUAAAUCUGCCUAGUCCGCCUAGGAGCCCGCCUAGCCGCCUAGGCGCUAGGCCCCAGCCCGCCGCCCGACUAGCGCCUAGUGACUUUUAGAACCUUGAACACGAAUAUAUAUUAUUAUGGUAAUGUCUCGCGCUAAUAAUAUAAGAACAUAAAUUGACACAAAACACCAUAAUAGUAGUACUACUCUUGACAUAUAAGUCAUUCUCCUCCAAUAUUUGCUCAUAUGGCUUCAGUGCGAAGUAAACGAUUAAGAGCAAUGAAUGCUAGUUUAACAUAAACCAUUCAGUAAGUUGGGUGAUACCAAAUAGGCUUGCAUGGGACAUGACGUGCUGUCAACACUAACUCGUACUGUUUGGGCUAAACCCAUCGAUCGAUGUGGAACGACAUCGGUCCUUUGAUCCCGUCAGUACGCAUUUGUGAAUUCAAUUAACAAAAUAACUGAUAUCCUACACUCUGCUCCUCCGUCCUUCAACAUUGCAUGGUCUCCAAGCAGAGCCGGCCCUGAGGGUGUGCAACAGGUGCCACCGCACAAAGUCCCCGAUUCGGAAGGCCCCUAAAUUUUCAUUACAUGUACGCAGAUGCAUAUAAAAUAAUUAGAUUCAAAAGAUUUGUAAACAGGAGAUAACAAAAAAGCAUCCAACGUGUAUCGAACGUAAGAACCUUGAAGGUACGAAUCCCAAUGAUAUUGUUUUGUUAUAUUUUAAGCUUUUGCAAAUUUGUAAACAGGAGAUAACAAAAAAGCAUCCAACGUGUAUCGAACUUAAGACCUUUGAAGGUAAGGAAAAACAUCUAGCUGAUCAAACAACAACUUAUUUUUGUUGCAGUAACUUGUAAUAUUUUAGUUUUAUAGAUGAAAAAAUUAAAAAAUAAUAAUAAUAAAGAAAUAUAACAUUAAAAAAAAUUGAAGGACCUCCAUCUAAGUUUUGCACAUGGCUCCUCAAUACUCAGGGCCGGCCCUGUCCCCAAGUAUGUAUUUGUGAUUCAUAUUUGAUAAAAUAACUGCUAUCCUACUCUCUGUUAGUUAGUUCUUCAACCAUGCAUGCGCCCAGGUUUAGUGAUAUAGUGCCAAGAUUAAUCUCAUAAAUCAAAUCGUGUAAAUCAUAUUAAUACUUUUUAAAAUUUCUCUAAUUAAUUCAGCUCAUUUUACAUUAGGUGAAUUACAAAGAAAGUUGAAGUUCUACCGUAAAAUUUAUUGACAAUACGAAGAGUAUCCCAACUCCUUAUAUGCACAUGCAAUGUCCUUUUUUUUUUCUUCUAUAAUUUUUUGUAAUUGGAAAAUUUGAGCCAGGAGAUUAUGUUGUGUGUGGCUGGUUAAGUACUAUAUAUUGGAUAAAACUGUACUAGUUAGCCAUUGCAGAAAAAACAGCCAAGAUCUUACACCCCUAUUUCGCACCUUUCCUAUUCUGAACACCAUGAAAACACCUCAACCUCCUCCCCCUGUUGUUUCCCGCUACUGGCAAGAAAAUGAACUCAGCCAAGAAGACAAAGACCUUAUAUCCUCUCUACCUACAGAAAAAGCUUGGGUUGCAAAUUACCUUCACAAGUACCAAGGUUUUUGGCAGGCAACUACGCACAUGCAGGGAGCUUUGGCAUGCCAGAAACACUUCCAAGCCCUAGAAUCUGAUAUCCUUCUUGUAACCACUCCCAAAUCAGGCACCACUUGGCUCAAGGCAAUUUUGUUUGCCUUAGUGAAACGAGAGCACUAUCUGGACCCUCAGCGACACCCUUUGCUCACAGAAAACCCUCAUGUUCUUGUGCCGUUUUUGGAGAUCGAUGUCUACGCUGACAUACAGGUACUUCCUGACCUCUCCUCCCUGGCCCCUCCGAGGCUCUUUUCGACUCAUUUACCGUAUUCUUCUCUGCCGGAUUCUGUCAAACAUUCCGGUUGCAAUGUUGUUUACUUGUGUAGAGAUCCUAAAGAUGCGUUUGUUUCACUUUGGCACUUUGCAAACAAACUACGACCCGUGGGUAGUGGAACCAUUUCACUUGACGAUGCGUUCGAUAAGUUCUGCCGGGGAGUGAGUGUGUCGGGACCUUUUGGGAUCACGUACUAGGGUUUUGGAAGGAGAGCUUAAAGAGGCCUGAAAGUGCAAUUUUCAUCAAGUUUGAGGAAAUGAAAGAAGAGCCCGCUCUUCAUCUGAGGAGGCUGGCCAAGCUUUUGGGUUGACAAUUUUCUCCGGAAGAAGAGACACACGGAGUUGUGGAUGGUAUCUUAAGGUUGCGUAGUUUUAAAAAUUUAAGCAAUUUGGAUGUGAAUAAAAGUGGGAUAUUGUCGUCUGGUAUGGAGAAUAGCGCAUUCUUUAGGAAAGGUGAAGUUGGAGAUUGGAUGAAUUAUUUGACCACUGAGAUGCUGAAAAAACUAAACUCUAUUACUCAAGAGAAGUUUCAUGGUUCCGGAUUAAAAGGAGUGUAUUCAAUUGAGAAUUUGAAAGAUUUUAAUGGAUUUAUAAAUUCAUGGAUUUUUAUGGAGUUUAAUUAAUUUAUAGAAAUUUCAUAUAAAAUUUUAAUUUAAUUCUCUCAAAAUCUCAUGGGGAGAUGUCAUAUUUGUGGAUGCUUAAAAUACACUAUGAAAUCUCUCAAAUUUCCUUUAAUUUCUCAACUUUAUCAAAUUAUUUAAAAUCAAUUUUUAAUUGAAUAUACCUGGAAUGUUAUAAACUUCCUUAAAAUCAUAAUUGAAUACACCCGGAUUUCUAAGGAUUUUAAUAGACUAUCUUAAAACUCUAAUUGAAUACACCUUGAAUUUCAGAUAAUCACUUAAAAUCCUGAUUAAAUACACCUAGAUUCAAUAAAAGAAUUAAAAUCCCUCAAAAUCUCAAUUGAAUACACCCCGCUCUAGGGUUUGCAUCUUUUUUCUCUGUGUGUGAGUCUUUCUCUUUGUGGGUGAGUUUUUCUUCUUGUGCGAGCUAGUUCUUCAAAUUCUAGUAAACCAUUUUGCCGCCGGCCCUAGCCAUGGCUUGAUUCGGUGGCAGCUCUUUUCCUCUUUCUUCUUCUUGUUUUUCUCCUCUGCUGCUCUCGGUUUUCCGGCCCAUUGUUUCCUUUUGUAUCCACUCCCUUAUGCCUUUGAUUUAACCAGCCUCUGCGCGCAAUCGGAAAGCUUCUUUUUCCGAUUUUCCCUUUCUUCUCUUCCCACUUAUCUAUCCACCUUCAUGCUUCGGCUCAAACCAAUUUCUUUCUCUCCCACUUGGAUUCGUCCUCUCUCUACUCCACAAUUGCUUCAAUCCGCAACCAUUUUGUUUGGUUGUGUCAAUCUCGACAUUGCUACACCACCACUUUCUUUCUGUGUGUCGAUCUCGACAUUGCUACUUGUUGGGAGUACUUUCCCUUCAUUUUCUUGGUGCUGCGAUUCCAAGUAGUAGGGUGUUUGCUAGAGGACGAUGAAAUUUGGUUCUUUUUUUGUUUCAGGGACUUGGCUAGUUCUUAUCUCUUGCGUUUACAGAAGGAUUGGUUCGUGGUCGGCGGCAAGCACUACAGGUGCUUCGGCAGCGGGAGAGAAUCCACGCGUUUAGGGUUCUUUGUGUGUUUUUUUUGUGUAGGGCUCACCUUUUAGGUUGGGCUUUUCUUCAGUUGUUUUGGAGGUCAUAAUGUUGCUGUAUGCCUUGUGUGUUUUUGGGCCUCAACUCUUGUACGUGUAGUGUGUUUGUAAUAAAAUGUUACCUUUUCACUAAAAAAAAAAAAGGUUUUAGGGUUUGCUUCUUGCUGCUUAUGACAUCUUAUUUAUUUGGGGACGGGUAGUCAUUAAUGAGUAAGAGAAAGAAGGAAAGUGUACGGUAUCAACUAGUUCCCUAGUAGUAAUAAUCAAUGACGACACAUAUCGACCAGUUACCUAGUAGUAACCCAUCUCUAUAUUUUCUAUGUGUAGCAUAGGAGAAAUCUCGAAUUAAAAUAAUAAAUACUCAUGUUUAAUAAACGUUGGGAAUAAGUCAUUAAUGAGAAUGAUUAAAUUAUUAACUCCAUGCAUAUAAGUAAAGAUAAAUUAGUGCUUAAUAUUUUUUGUCAUCCUCUCUGGAAAUUUGUAUCCUACUCUAAUGACUAAAAUUACCACUAGUUCCACCUUCCUAGGAAAGUUUGAUUACUACCAAAAAAAAAAAAAAAAAAAAAAAAAAGGACAAUAGUCACAUUUUAAAAGUAUUGAAGGAGUGAACAUAACUUGAAUCAUCGACUUUUGCCUUCUUUAUGCAUCAGAUUUGUUUUUGUUUUCUGUUUUAAGUUGGAUCUUCAAAAUCUGACUUAUACAUUUGAGAUCUCGCCUUGUUGUUCGUGGAUUUGAGUUUUCAACACUUUUUUUUCUUUUCGAUUUACUAACCCCAAUAUGCAAUUUAGGGUUAAUCUGCAUUCAUCGUGGCCUGCUUUAUUCUUAAUUUCUUCCUAAAACCCAAACAUAAUAUCAUAAUUUUAUAAUUUAAAUCAUAAAAUGUUUUCACAUACAUCAACAAACUGUUGGAAUUUUGACAAAAAAAAAAAAAAAGAAGAAGAAGAAGAAGAAAACAUACAAACUUCGAAACUCAGAAGUCGGCUCCCAGACUUGUUUCCUUCAUUUUACACUUGGUGUGACAAGCUCUUGGCUUGCACACUCUGGUAACUAGCUCUGGUUGCACAAUUUAUAUUUCCUUUUUACUCUCUCAUAUAUGGAAAGCAUAUGGUUGAAGAUAUUUUCAACCACCAAGCUUCUUCUACACGGCUCCUACUUUACAUGGAAGAGAUUAGCUCUCUCCGCCCAACUAAAGCAUCUACCCGUGCCUCUUAUACACCAAGCGUUUCAACACUUUUCAAGACAUGCCGUGUGGUAAACAGACAUGAAAUUCAUCCCCAAUCAUUGGACUAUUCUGUGAUGAUUAAUAUAUAGGUAAGUUCAAACAAGAGUACGUAAUGCAAAUAUCCGGAAAUGAAUAAACUUUUUAAUUUCAUGGAAAUGAACUUGUGUUUAUUAUGCAGCAUGUGCUAAGUUUAACAUUAACGUUGCAUCAGUAUGAGUUUGCAACACUUGAGUUUAUUGCAGGCAGGUGCACUCUGGCCUCUCUCUCUCUCUCUCUCUCUCUCUCUCUCUCUCUCUCUCUCUCUCUCUCUCUCUCUCUCUAUAUAUAUAUAUAUAUAUAUAUAUAUAUAUAAUUGAUCCAUUAUUCUUUGAAUUGUCCCAAAUUAAGAUUCUCAAUUUAACAAAGACCUCAAUACUAAAAGUACCAGACAAGGGAAGAAUAUGAUAAAUUUCCAAUGUGUAUGGUUAAUACAACACUAUCAUAAUAUCUACUAGAUAAUUUAGGGCACUUUGAAAACAAGUUGCUCUUCUUCCAAGAUACGUACCCUUUUUGGCUUAGAAACUGCACAUGCCAUACGGCAUACACUUCCUAGAAGAAAAAAAAUGGCUGAUUUGGACACCAGUUGAAUAGGGUUCGAUUCAUGGACGUGGUUUACCCAUCCAAAUGGGGUACAACACAUAGUGCCAUAGUGGGGACAGUGCAUGGCAGAAAGACAAUGUCCGAGACUUAAUGGUUGGUCUCAAUUAGGUUUCUCUAAAUUUAAAAAAACGCAUAAUGAGUUAAAACAACGUCAUCUUGACAUCUCUAUGAAGAUGUCAAGAUGACGUUGUUUUAACUCAUUAUGCGUUUUUUUAAAUUUAUUCGCAUUAUCGUUGUACAAUUAAUUUAAAACAUUACCAUUUAACAUUUCUGUUUCAUAUAAGUCAUUUAUCUGCCAUUAUUUUCCACAAAUAGAAAAAUUGGUGGACAUAUUAAGUACUGGUUUGGUACUGAGGUGCUUUUAAAAAAAGCGGGUAUCAAAAAAAACUGGGAGCUUUUUUGUGUUUGGUAAACAUUCAACUUUAGUUUUUUUUUUCACAGUUUUGGAUGAAAAAAAGCUAAAAGUUCAAAGCAGCAAAAGCUAGCUUUGAAAAACCAGCUUUUUUGCUUCCACAGCUUCUGCGCAAACCUAAUUUGUAAGAGGCCCUGAGCCCUUUAAUGAAACUUUCAAACACCCAAAAUGACCUUAAACAAUUAAAUAAUUACACAUAAUGCCAACUGGAAAACGUCGCUGACUUCAAUUGGGAGGUCAUCCUCGUCGAUCCCGUCACAACAAUGUUCACUCCCAGCUUCAACAAUCACCAUUAUUGACCUUGAAUUCCAUACCCUAAGAUGUUGUUUCUGCCUCUGUCCUUCCUCCCAUCUCUUGUCCAUCCCCUUUCACUCCCACAUAGGCAAAAUCGCUGCAAGAAAUACCACCAUCUUUUCCAGCGAGGACCAGAUUCGGUUUUGGCAUCGUAGAUUUGCCUAGAUUCUCAAAUUGCACCGCUUACAGGCGACUGAUCUUUGUAUUUCUGCAAAGUAUGAGAGCCUAGAUUGCCUAGAUGGACACCAAAACUCAAUUAUUCCAAAUACCCAAAAUUAUAUACAGGAAACUACUUCGUAUGAUCAAAUUCACACUAUACAAUUUCAAAAAGAAAAAAUGAUUAGUCCUGAAAGAAGAAAGAAACCAGCAUCCUGGAGCGUUGGUCCAGCCCGAUGUAUAUUAUGAACUCCUUGAGCAGGUAGACCAUGUAUGUACUGCAAAUCAGAUGACAGGUGAGAGAGAUUGAAGAACGGAGUAGAACAUAAAAAAGAAGAAGGAGCAAAAAAAAAAAAAAAAAACUGAAAAAAUUGGGGUUGUGGGGGAGACUUUUAGAGAGAUGUUUUUGGUUUUUGGAAAGUCUGGUUCAGUAGUGGGUAGUGGGAGAGACUACUCGAUGCAGAUGGAGAAAAUUAAAUUAAUGGCACAUCUAGUAUUAUAUCAUUUUUUGUCAUUUCACACAAUCAUAGCUGUUUUACAUAAAAAUGUAUCAAACACUAUAAUACUGCUUUUUCUUUUUUCCCAUAAACACCUUUACAAAAAAGUUUACCAAACACUAUGCUACUUUAUUUCACAGUUGCUUAUUCUCACAGCACAACAGAAACAAUUUUUUUUCUUCAAAGCACAGCAAUACCAAACCAGCCCUAAGUUUAAUAGACAAUGACUAAUGCCCUUCCUAGUAAGUUUCCUGGUCUGGUGCGCCCUAGGCCAGUUGGCCUCUUGUGUAGAAAUCAUGAACCAAUUGGCAAUUAGUCAAGUGGCCGUCGCAUAGAUGUAGCAGCACUUCACCACUUCACCACCUCAGCCUCUCUCAGUCUCAGGCCAUCCCAUCUUUCCAUUACCCUAGAAUGGAAGACACCAAAUUUCAUCAUGCUGAGAGUACUAAUUUCACAUCGGGUAGAAGAUCUUGGGUGUGCUUAUAAAUAGUUAAGUUGAUUCCCAUAUUGCCAAUUGGUUUUAUAGUCAAACCUUAACUUUCUUCAUAUCGUCAAUGGAAAAAUAAUUAUAUCGAAUUAAGUUAGCGACACAUUCCUGAAAAAUGGAACCAUGUAAGUUCCAUCCAACACAUACAAAUCAAACGAGACAUUUUUACUGCCGGACUGGAAUUGGUGGGACGGGAAAAUGGAGGAUGAUGAGAUGGGAUCGGGCUGGACUAUGUUUUGUGGGACUGGAAAAUGUGUGUUACCAUGUAUGCCCUAACCCUAGAGAAGUAGCAAUUGACCAGAAAAAAAUAAAAAUAAAUAAAUAAAUAAAUAAACCCUAAAGAAGCAGUAGAGGUGAUACCACAUGCGAGGGGCAGGAGGCCGGCAUGAACCACAAGACACGCUUAUGUGCGCGCGCACCAAAUAUUUUUUGACUCACCAAAUAUAUUAAUCAGCAAUAUAUUUAUUAGUUAAUCAAAGAGCCAAAGGAGAAUUGUAUUUAUAUUGACCAAUAUUUAGUAAGGAAAACUAAUGAAAAAAAUUUGAAAAUUUUGAAUUUUAACGAUAAAGAUAAAGAGUAAAGUGAAUAGUAUCAGUGUUGAACAAUAAAAAUACAUGACAUAUAAAAAAUAAAAUCCAUGUAAAUUGGACCAAACUACAAGGCCAAAAAAAAAAAAAACAAAAUGUAAUCCAGCCCAAAAGAUGAGGAUGAGCCUUACAUACAAAACAACAUCCAGAAAUAAACAAAUAAAAAAAUAAAAUAUGAAUUUCUUCCUACAAAAGAGGGAAGAAAACGUGCAACACAGAAACCUCCAUCUUUGCAGGGUGUGAAAAAAAAAACUGCACAAGUUACUGGGAGAGGUUAAGUAAAAGUGGCAGGAGAUCAUGGCCUCCAACUUCCCCCACGUAGCAAAUUCCAGAGCUUUCCUAGGAUGCUUAUAAAUAAGCAUCACCUGCAGCAAGUAAAGGGGGGACAGACAGAAAAAAGGGGGGAUACUCUGCAGAAAAAAAUAGAGAAACAUUGAGAGAAAAUACCAAGAGCAACGAAGUGCUGCCAGAAAAGAGAAGGAAUUUAAUCAUUCGUGCUUUCGAAGUCAAGAACUAAGGGAGAAUAUUCAUCACCAGGUAUAAAACAAAGCCCUGUUAAAAUUAUUUUUCUCUUGAUUUUUGUUAUGUUGUAUAUAUAUAUAUAUAUAUAUAUAUAUAUAUAUAUAUAUAUAUAUAUAUAUAUAUAUAUAUAUAAGAAACAGAGAAGGGCACGAAGGAAGAAGCAACGAAAAAAUGGCAGCCGAAGACCACCAGGCAAUGGUCCAGGACAUUCCCCUUUGCUUGGCAAUGGUCCACAAUGCAAGGAAAAAAGGAAAAAAAAAAAAGAGAAGGACAAAUCAAAUUUUCUAAUAUUUCUUUUAGCUUUUUUUUUGCCUUUGUUUCUUUGUUUGGUAUUUUUCCUGCACCAAAUAGAUGGAGGUGGAGAUUCUGAACCACUAACUGCAGCAGAAAUGAUCUCCAAGAAUCCCAUGAAUUUCUUCGGGGUGGCCUAGACCACCCCGUGAAGUUCCAAUCAAAGUCUAAGUAACCCAUACUUGCCGUCCGUACAUUAUGCGACUUGAAGGAGAUGGGUUUGGCAAAUGCCGUGUUGCAUAAAGCCAGAAGAAACCCAUGCAAUUUGAAAAGUCAUCCUUUGCGGUCCAAUGAGAAAACAGAUGCAUUUGUGGACAAAUAAACAAGGGAAAAGAAGCAAAAUGCAACUUUUGCUCCCCUUGACUGACUCAUAUUUGGUCUCUAUGAAGAAAAGUAGCAAGGAAGCAACAUAUACCAAGAUGAAACUUAAGAGGAAAGAAAUUGUCGUGUUUGGUGUUUUCUUUGCUACUCACGGGUACAAGAUAUGGAGGAUGCCUUUGGCUAAAAAUCCUAUGAAAACUUAUUGGGGAUAGAGUCCAAGAAAAAGGAGAAAAUGGAAAAGAUGGUUUGUAAAGGAAAAGAAGUCCAGAAAAAGGGAAAGGAAGGAAACGUGUUGUUCAAGAGCUCCACCCAAAGUCCUUUAUGCCAAGAAUUCGAAAGAUAAGAAGAAAAUGGAAAAGAUGGUUUGUAAAGGAAAAGAACUCCAGAAAAAGGGAAAAGAAAGAGAACGUAUUGUUCAAGAGUUCCAUCAAAGUCUUUUGAGCUAAGAAUUCGAAGGAAAUAUGGAGAUUGUAAAGUUUGCAAAAAGAAAGCUACGGCAGGGAAUAAAAAAGGGAAGUUGUCUUCAAAGUUGCUGGAAAUUUGACACGAACACAAAGAAAAGAUGAGAUGAAAUGAUUGAUAAAAGCUCCAAGUCAAAAGUAAAGGAUAUAAGUAAGUUUUCAUCAAGAAAAGUUUUGUGCAGAACUCGAGACGAAGAUACCAUAACACUUUGAAGUGCCGGCUUCGCAGCUUUAAUAGUUCUUCUUUCUUAUUCCACCUACUCCUAUCUCAGAGAGAGAGAGAUGUAUCGCAGCAAAACCCAAGCAACCCAAGUCAUUUAAGAGCUCUGCUUCUAAAAAAUCGAAGAAGUCUUCUGCUUGAGAAAUGUGAAGAAAAAAGCAAGAUGGGCGACUGCUUUUAUUCCAAUUUCAAGUAUGUUUCUCUGCACAAGGAAGGAAAAAAAGUAUAUACAAUGAGUUUAAAAAAACUCUAAAGGAAGAAAAGUGUUCCAGAUACCUUUAUAAGGCUAAGUAUGACUUGGUUUUUCCCUGAUGCCACGUGAAGUCCUGCUUGGACCUAGAAAUCCAAGUCUACAAAGAAAAAAAACGGAAGGCCUGCACCUCACGUGGAGAGGAACAGAGGUUGUUGAAACUUGGAAGCUUUAAAGUUAUAAUAAAAGUGAAGCUUGCUGUCAGUCAAAUGGGUUCAAAAUCCCAUGACAAAUGGGUUUGAAAAUUCAAAAGAAAAUUAUAAAAAAAAAAGGGGAAGCUACUUCUUAAAGAAUUCCAUCAAAAGCCUUUUUUUUGGCUAGGACUUUGACGCCAUGUGAUGUCUCAUCUGGACUUGGAAAAAUCAAGUGUACAAGGGAAAGAAAUAAGAAAUUUGCUACAUACAGUUCCCUCAAAUUAAAUGGGAAGGCUAUCCACGAACCCAGAGAAAAAAAGAGUAGCCCUUCCGUAGCCCUUCCAUAUGAGUAAUAUGGGCUUUAUGAAUAUGACAUCUAUCAAAGUUAAAUUUAUUCAAGAAGUCUAAGAAGCACGGCAUCGAGACAAAGUCAAAUAUCAAAGUAAAAGUGGGUUCAUCAAUAUUCCCAUUAAAUUUACAAGAUACAAAUGACACGAAGCCAUAUCAAGUAUUAAAAGGCACGAAGCCGUGAUGAGUCUCAAAGAAUAUGAACUACGCUGGUUUGAUUCCGUUAAGGAUACGUAGGCAGUCUGAUAUCAAUUUUCAGACGCAACCAUGAAAUCAAGCCAACGAACUACGCUGGUUUGAUUCCGUUAAGGAUACGUAGGCAGUCUGAUAUCAAGUUUUAGACGCAACCGUGAAACCGAAACGAAUCCCUAGUUUAUAUAAACUAAAUUCACUCCUACUAUCAAAUACCAAAAUGGCACAAAGCCGAAGAAAAGUUUCAAAGGGCACAAAGCCGUAUCAAAUCCCAAGUGGCAUGAAGCCAAAGAAAAGUCUCAAAUGGCAUGAAGCCAUAUCAAAUUUUAAAAUGCUCCUCACCCGCAUGAGCUAAAACUGUAUAAGGUACCAACUGCUCCAAUGGCUUAAAGUCCUCGCCCGCAUGAGCUAAAACUGCACAAGGCAUUAAUGCUCCAAUAGCUUAAAGUCCUCACCCGUAUGAGCUAAAACUGCACAAGGCAUUAUUGCUCCAAUGGCUCAAAGUCCUCGCCCGCACAAGCUAAAAUUGCAACAAGUACUAAAUACCAAGGAACUACGAGUGACUUGAUCCCUCAACGAGGGUACGUAGGCAAUCUAGGGCUCUACCUAGGUGCAGUCACAAAAUCAAAUAAACAUCCAAAUCUCUAAGUUACGAUUUAUUCAUAUUAUAAUCAAAGGGUAUUCCUUUCCCAAAGGAAGGGUUGUAAUUAAUAGGCGCGUAACCUAGAAUGGGUCGAACUCGAAUUAAUAAAACCCUCUUCAAGAAAUGAACGAGGGUGAAAUCGUGUCGAGUGAAUUAUUUGUUUACAUACUGUGUACAAUUUUUGCUCAACAAUCAGGAUUGACUUUUUAAUGUAAAAAUGUGGUUUUUCAUUAAAGUGAAUAAUAUCGGGAGCUUUUCGUUAAGGUUCCCUGUUUAGUAGAUGAUUAAGAUAUAAUACUUUAUUAUGUGAAACAUUUUUUGUUGUUAAAAUAUGGUUUGCUUGCAGUUUGCCUAAUCACGUGGGAUUGGGAUGCGGACGUGGGAUGCUCAUAUCAACCAAAAACAUUAUCCCAUAUUUAAAGAGUUAUAUUAAUUAUGGAAUUUCGGCGGCUUAAUUGUUACAUAACCCCGUCUGUCCGGAAACAAAAAAAGUAGAAUAUUGCUACAUUUCUCCGGCCAGCGAAUGCUGCUAAAUUAACUUGACUAAUUUGAUUAAAAAAACCUAAUUAACAAAUACAAUGCAUGGGGCACCACUCGUAAAUCUUAGUGAUUCGUGACACGAUUGAUUCUGGAUCUCUGAUUAUGUUCAUGCACGAUUAGAAUUGAUGUGUUCAACAAUUUUUAAAUUAGUUCAUAUAAUACAUUUUGUGAAGCAGUCCAUGCUGUUUAUAUAUUGAAGUGAGCAUUAUAUAACGAAGAUCAUGCCAAUGUUGUGGAGUUGGUUGAGUAGCUUGUGUAAGUUGUGAGUGUCAAAGAACAUGUGCUUACUGUUUCUUGACAUACAGUAACUUGGUCAAUCCGAGUUAAUGGUUGAGAAAAUUAUGGAGCCUUAUUUGGUUAGGUCUAGGAGUCCUUAUUUAGUGCAAUUAAUUAUGAAAACCUUAUUUAGUUGACAAAGAGUUCGUUACCAUUUAGGACUAUAAUGAAAUCCUAAUGGAUAUGGAAUAUCCCUUUAAUCAGUUAAUAGGCCGGAUUAAAGGGAUGAGCGUCUAUAUAUUAGGAGGUCCCUGCACUCACAGCAUCAUCCUAUUCUAGUGCAAAACCCUAUUUUUGUGCACAAGGAAUCUCGGCUGCUAGAGUGUAGAAGUUCCUCCUUGAAACCCUAGCAGUCAUGGCUUCUUCUUCUUCCUCCACUUUGGAAGAUAAGUUUAUUUCCCUUUUAAUUGUUUGAUUGGUUUAUUGUAGUUAUAUUUGUUUUAUCUGUGAUUCUAGUAACUUGUUGAUUUUCAGAUUACAUCUUACAGGUGGUAUCAGAGCCUCUCAACUCGCCUAGAAUUCAGAAUUUCGAUCAUGGUUGGUUUUGAAUAUAUUGAUACAAAUCUGCUAGGGAAUUUGCAAAGCUUGGGGGUUCGGAUUAUUGGUAAUCUAUUUGAACAAAUUCUUAACAAAUUAAAGGCAUAAUUAUUUGUUGUUUUGUUUAAAUGUCUUUUACUUGUGGAUCCUGAGGCUUCCGCUUAAUCUUAGAAUAUUUUUGUAAUUGCUUUUCUAACUACAGUUUUGUGGCAUGAAUCACAAAGAUUCAUGGCAAAAUUUAUAUUGUGAAUGACUGUUGACCAACAUGUUCAAUUAACUUUAUGAUUUAGAUGCCAAGUUACAUCAUACGACAUAUUUAUAGAUAAGAUGUAUGGUGGGUGAAAGAUACAUUAUUCCAAAGAUUUUGUAGUUUUUAGUAUUCCUUUUCUAUCACAUGAUAUCUCCGAUGGAGUAAAUUUGUUUGGUUGAAGGAUCAGAGAGCUCUAGUAUGCUGCCAUGGUUCAUUACCCAUGCACUAGGGUUUAUGCAUCGAGCUUGAACCCCAUUAUGAAAAGCUUGCUGCCAAGUCUUGCAUAAUGAAUUAUUUGCCAUGCUUUAUUAUGGGUUGAGCUUUACGAGAUUUGCAUAUCUUGCUUUAUUUUGAUUGGUAGUGUUAGUGUUGGGUUUCCUAGGGCUCGCCCAAAACCCUAGUGAGCAUAUCCCGUUCAAAGGUGAGAAUAAAUUUUGACCCAAUGGAAGUAAAAUUAGUAAGUUUGCUCAUAUUUUUUGUUGUUGUCUAAAGCAACCUUUUGAAAUUAUUUUGAGUUGAUGGAUUGAAUUAACCUUAUGGAUACUGACUUCGUGGGUGAGCCAUUGUAUAGGAUUUUCAUGAUUUAAAAUUCUGAAUUUGGAUACCAUGACACUAACAUGUUUUAUGCAGGCACACGUGUUCAUUCAUAGCUUAGAUGAAUGUGUGAACUCAUUCUGCAGGAAUUAGAAAGGUUUGAGAUCCCUUUCAAUUCUCAAAUCUUGCGUCGUAAGGAGCUUGAUCUAUAUACACAUAUUAAUGCCGUGGCCAUUUUGGUGUCACUUUUAAAUUGUUUUCUAUCUUAAAAGGAGAUUUUGAUAUAUCACAAUGGACAUGCUAAAUGUUGUUUUAAAAGAAAAAUGAAAUUUUAGUAAAGUUAUGAAAACAAGACUAGCUAUGUUCAUGUAGUUUAGCAUACCUUGCAAUUUGUUCUAUUUUAGUUUCUGAUUUUGAUAGAUUUUUCAUAACUCCAAAUUUUAUGAAAUUUGAUCAUGUCAUAAUAUCAAAUGGAUUGUAGACGUUGGUAUUUUUUUCACGUUUCUAGACAAGAAAUGGAUUUAUGGUAAAUUUUUAAGUUUGAUACCAUAUUGCUGGAAUUCUGCAGACUUCCGCAGAAUAGUCUGCUUGUGAUAUUAUUUUGACAUAUCUAUGUGACUCAUAAAUUCAUGAAAUUUUAGUAUGAUAUACAUUGAGAUAUUUAUUUCAAAUCUGGAAAUUUUGAAGAGCAUUGGUUUGAAAAAGAAUUAUUGGUGAAUUUUUAAUCUCGGGACUGUCCUGCAGAAUGUAUGCGGUUUCUGCAGCAAAUUCCAUUUCGAUUUUAUUUUAACCCACUUUUAAAAUCGAAAAAAUCACGGAAUUUUGGGUAACAAUAAAUUUACAUGUCUACUUUAUUUCUGAAAACUUUCAUACACAUUGGAGGAAGAUUGAAGUUUUGGUGAAUUAUUUAGACUCGGGUAUGUUUUGCAGAAUUUCUGUUGUUUCAGCAGCACAACUUAUUUCAAAUUUGUUUUUAGUACACUUGUAAAAUCUCAAAAAUUAUGAAAUUUUGGGAAAUAACAGAUUUUUAUGUUUACUUUAUGUCUGAAAAUUCUGAUUCAAAUCAGUUGAACAAUGAAUAUUUGGUGAAUUUGUAAUCUCAGGUAUGUACUGAACAUUUUCUGCUGUUUCGGCAGCACCUCUCUUUUCGAAUUCAUUUUUGGCUCACUUAUAAGAUUUUAAAAAAUCAUGAAAUUUUGCAAAAUAGUAGUCAUAUAUGUCUAGUUCAUACCUAAAAAUUUUCAUGACAAUCUAAAGAGAAUUGAGUGUUUGGUGAAUUUGCAAACUAAAAUAGUACUGCUGAAUUUUUUGGUACUUCAAAACUAGUUUUGUUAUGUGAUAUUGUUUCACUAAUUUGUGCACAUCUAUUGGUACCGGUUAUUAUACAAGUUUAUGGUUCCAAUAUGUCCUUAUUUUAUGCAAAUUAUCAACACUAAUGAAUUUUAUAGACAACACUGAUUAAAUUUUGAUUUAAAGAUGUAUUGGUUUGUUUUGCUUAAACCAAUGUUUUGUUUGGUCAUCAAUUCUGAUUAUGAUGAUAAUUGUCUUUUGAGAGAAAAUUGGAAAGUGGCAUCAGUUUACUAAUUGAUCAUUUUGGUCCCUAUCGAACAACUGAAUAACCAUGUUUCCUCUUUCGAGAACUCUAUUGUUCAAUGUCAACAACGACAUACUUUUGUGUCUGAUUGAAUUUUUUGAGAAUCAUUGAAUAUCCAACAAAACGGUUAUUUAAUACUGUUCUAAAGGAUUAUUCUGAAAAAUCAGAAUUCUAAUUUAUAUGGUGAAUACUUUGUCCCAAUGGGAAUUUCAGGAAAUCACUCACCAAUUAUAAAUUAGUAUUAUAGCAAAUCAUAAAGUACUUCUAACAUAUUUUCAUCUGGCCAAAGAUGUUGAAGCUAUAUGUAUUUUGUGUAUUUUAUGUUUUGGCUAGCUAUGCAGGUAUUUUCUUUGCAUGAUUAGUUUCUGCCCAAAGGUGUAACAAUCAUGCAAUUUGGAGUUGGUUCGAUCCUCCACAACUCACUACUUCCAUGAUGAAUCUUGCAGAAUCAAGAAUGAGUAGGUAAAUUUGCCAAUCUUUUUCCUUAAUUUUCUGUGAGUUCUAAAUUGGAUUAAAAUUAUUAUUAAAAAAUUGAUGUUGUUGAGAUGUCUAUGUGUUUACUUUAAUCGACUUUGUUUUAGAAUUAAAACAUAAAUUUUGAGUUUGGAUUCUCUUAUUAGGUUUCAUUUUAAUUUAUGAUAUAAUAUUUAACACAUAUGUGGGUCUUCUCUCAUACACUAAAAUAAAUUUUGUAGCCAUUGGUUUAUCUAAUCACUUGUCACUUUUAGAUCAAUUAAUAAUGUUGAGAUAUUGUUCCUUAUAUAAGCCUAAUUUUGAUACAUAUAGAUUGGUUUAUUAUGUCCAAACCAACUAUUUUGUGACUCAACAAAUUUAUUUAAGAAAUUUUUUUUUUUGUGUUUUGAGCAUUUUAAAGAUUGUAAAUUGGUUUUAUUUAAAUUAUGAUUAAAUCUGAAAUUGUGGUAGAGCUUGGGAAAUACUGCUGCAAUUUUGCAUACCUUGCAACGUGUCCUAUUUGAUUACCAUUUUGAUAGAUUUUCUAACUCCAAACUUUGUAAAAAUUUGUCAUCUUAUAUUAUAUAAUGGAUCGUGUAUGCUAUCUUUAUUUAUUCAACUAGCCUAUAUUUUGUUAUAUGAAAACCACUUUCUCUAGUGUUUAAUCUUGCAAUUUUGAGUGUUUGCCCAAGUGGGAGAAAUAAUGUAUUAUGGGCUUCACACUCAUCAAUUUUGCAUGCUUUUAAUGAUCAUAGUUUUGGUAGAUAAAACGUACAUUAUCAUACUUGUUUAUAUUUUAUUUGUUACAUAUGCAACUAAUCUUGUAGGAAAUUCAAGAAGGGUUAAUGAGUAUAUUCUGCUCAAAAGUGUUUUACUUAUUAAUUCUUAUAUGUUGUUCAAGAAAUUGGACUUGUGAUUUAUAUGUUAUUGAUGAAUAAUUAAUCUGCUCAAAAGUGUUUUCUUAUUCAGUACAAAUAUAAAUCAAUGUAUAGUGAAACAUGAAAUUGACAAGAUUGCAUAUACUUCAUCUGCUCAAAAGUGUUGAAGUUAUAUAUGUUUGCCCUUGUAUUUUGUGUUUUAGCUAUGCAAACCUAAUAUAAUUAGUUUCUGUCCAAAGAUGAUUCUGGAAUUAUAUGCUUUUGAUGCAAUCAGAAAACGUUCCGUUAAAGUUUUCUAUUUCUGUCAAAUGUUAGAUGAACAAAACGGACCAAAUGAUUUUGUAUAGUUUUCAGUCACAAUAGUCACUUCCCUACAGAUAUCUGGAAUAAAGAUGUUGAGCUCACAAAUUUUAAGUUUUAGAUCCCAUGACUAAUGUCUUGCUAAUGGGAGUAUUGGAAAGGUAUCUUUUUCAUUUUGUAGACAUUUACAAAGUUUUUUUUUUACUCUCUUAAUCAGUGGGAGUAAUAAUAAUUUAUAUAAUUUUGUCUCUUUUAAUCAGUGGGAGUAAGAGAUUACCUUUUGUGUUUAAAAUUUGAAGUGUUAGUGGCUGAUAUUUUAAGAGUUUUUGUUUAAGUUUUGUUCAUAAGUUUAAUAAGAGGUCCUAAUUUUGUAAAUAGUAUGUUAUAUUUUACUUGUCCUCUUAUCAUAUUAUAAAUUGACAGAAAAUAUGAGCCAUGCUUGCAUGAGGCUCAGUUCAGGAGUUGAUCUUUUUCUUAUCAACCUGAAUUUAACGAAUGAUGUCAAGCAACAUUGUGCUCGUAAUUUGAUAUUCGUGGUAAUAGAGUAAACAUGUAGAAGCAAUUACAUGUUAUUUUCUAUAAUCCAAUAUUUAAACUACUAGUGACAAGUUGUUAAAGGUAUAGUUGCAAAUUUUGUGGGACUCAGUGAUCACCUACCACUUAGCCAAAUAAGGAUCAUGUUCUUGGACACUCAAGUGGGAGAAUGUAAGUUGUGAGUGUCAAAGAACAUGUGCUUACUGUUUCUUGACAUACAGUAACUUGGUCAAUCCGAGUUAAUGGUUGAGAAAAUUAUGGAGCCUUAUUUGGUUAGGUCUAGGAGUCCUUAUUUAGUGCAAUUAAUUAUGAAAACCUUAUUUAGUUGACAAAGAGUUCGUUACCAUUUAGGACUAUAAUGAAAUCCUAAUGGAUAUGGAAUAUCCCUUUAAUCAGUUAAUAGGCCGGAUUAAAGGGAUGAGCGUCUAUAUAUAUUAGGAGGUCCCUGCACUCACAGCAUCAUCCUAUUCUAGUGCAAAACCCUAUUUUUGUGCACAAGGAAUCUCGGCUGCUAGAGUGUAGAAGUUCCUCCUUGAAACCCUAGCAGUCAUGGCUUCUUCUUCUUCCUCCACUUUGGAAGAUAAGUUUAUUUCCCUUUUAAUUGUUUGAUUGGUUUAUUGUAGUUAUAUUUGUUUUAUCUGUGAUUCUAGUAACUUGUUGAUUUUCAGAUUACAUCUUACAGCUUGUGCCGUGCAACCAACCCAAACAGUAUCAGCAAGGACGGCUCUAGGAUCUAAACUUAGAGCGACCUGAACUUUGAAGCCAAAAUCUAAGAACAAACAUUUAAUAUCGUUGUUUAGAGAAAAUUUGGGCAUAAAAACAGGUAAGAAAAGAGAUCGACAUAAAAAGAUUGAUCUCGGGGUUUUUUUGAGUGUUUGUUAAUAAACUUAUAAUAUGGCAGGCAUGAAUUUUUAUGAGGUAGAAGAGACGAGACAAGUUUAAUUAAGAGAGGAGGAGAGAGGGCGAAAGACCAAAAGAGGAAGCAAAGAGAAAAGUUGAUGUCUUUGCACGUGCAAUGGGAAUAAUUUAUUAUAUUUUAGGCUGAAUGGGUUGGAUUUAAAGGUGGCAAAUCAGCCAUUGAAUUGCUAAUAGGUACUCGUCAAAAUCCGUUUAAUUUAAUAUAACUAUAAUAUAGAGGUGAGAUCAGUAGUGAUGAUGAUGGUGUAAGGUGAAAUCAAAUUAAAUAGGUCUUAAUGGGUACCCAUUAACAACUCAAUGCGUUGGUUUGCCACCUCUAGUUGGAUUGGUAUAACUCAUGUGGACUAGAUUGGCUAAUGUUCCUAUGUUAUUUCUCUUCGGCUCAAUUUUCGGUUGGGCUACAUCCCGUCUCAGGAUCUGCAUUUCAGUUGAAUAUUGCACACGGUGAUGUUAGAGAUAAUAAAUUUUUAGAUUAUUUUUUGUAAACUAUAUGAUGUGCUCUAUAAAAAAUGAUCUAAUAAUUUGAUUUCCCUAGUAAUAGAAUGGAUGUACAAAUGCUAACUAUUACAAGAAAACGAAGAUAAACAAACGACAUACCAGUUAUUGGUUCAUUGUUCAAUGUUAACAAAAAAAACUGAUAGAAGGAAAAGAUUUCAAACUUUCAUAAGGAAAUUAAAUAAAGAAGGAGACAUACGAAAAAAAAACAUAUAAAAAGGAUUGACACUAGUGCACUAGUGAUCUUUUUGUUUUCUGACUUGCAAUUUUCAUUUAUGGGAAAACUAAUGAAAAUAGCUUGAAAACAUUGAAUUUUAACGAUAAGGACAAAAUAAAGGGUAAAGUGAAUAGUACCAUGAUUGAUUUUUCGUAUAAAAAUUUGGUUUUUCGUUAAAAUGAACAGUACUGGGAGCUUUUCGUUAAAGUUCCCUUUAUUUAUUCGUAUCAUUAUCUGACAAGUUGUGUAAAAAUGUUUUUUAUAUAUUAAUACUAGCGUUAAUGAGUUAAAUAAUUAGUUUAUAAGAGUGGAGAAGUCGGUGAGGAUUGAACUUGCAUUAUGAUGCAUAAGUAUAAUUAUUUUUUGACACUACAAUAAAGCAUCAUCGGUUGUAAAUAUGAUAUCUUUACAACAGUCAAAUUAGAAGAUGGAUAAUUCAAAUUUGAGGAAAUAAAAAGAAGUAUACUGCAUUUGCCAACUUAACUAAGCUCAAACAUAAGAAAAAUAUUAGUCCGAAGGGUUAAGUAAAAUCACUUAUUCGAAAGAAAAAAAAUGGAGCAAUUAAAAUUGCUCCGAGUAUUUUUAAUUCCAAUGUAUGUGAAUUUCCAUGUCGUAUACAAGGACGUAUAUGUGCAAUGUAUUUUCAUAUUAAUCAAUUCCUCUAAACAUUAGGCUUAUUUAUUGAUUUGUCCAGUGAAAAUUGCAAUUUAGUCUCAUUCACCUUUUAAAUCUGGUUUCGUUUCACUUUGUCAUUUGAAAACUGUCAUUUUCGUCUAUUUUGUCAAAUAAACGUUACAUCCAAUGAUACAACUCUUCUCCAAGUUUACAACGAAUUGUCAUCGUCGCCAAGAAGAUUAGUUGCCGUCUGAACUCAAGGGCUUGAUUUGCAAGCCUUAAUUCCUUUCUCCUUUUUCACUUUAACCCUAAUUUGUUUUCUUACGUUUCUUGCCAUAAUUAACAUUCGACUUAGUAAAUAUGUGGUGAAGAACCAAAAUUCUCACAAAAGUGUCACAUCACCAAGCAUGUGAUAUCUUUGUUUGUGUCAAAAAUAAAAUGCACAUACUAUUCUUUCAUUCAACGUCUGUUUAACAUAAUGGACGAAAAUAAAAUGAAUAACAAUUUACAUAGCACGAAUAUAUUGUAACUGUAAUAUCUCGUGCUAAUAAUAUAAUAGCAUAAGCUGAUACGAAACACCAUAAUAAUGGUAAUACACAUGCCAUUUAAGUCAACUCUCCUCCACUAAACAAACAUUUAAGAACAAUGAAUGUUAGUUUAACAUAAACCAUUCAUUGAGUUGGAUGAUACCAAAUAGGCAAAAAGAUUUGGAAUCAAACUUGUAGGCCAUCGACCCUUAUCACGUUAAUAUUUUACGUUUACGUGUACCUAACACUUAUAUAUAUAUAUAUAUAUAUAUAUAUAUAUAUAUAUAUAUAUAUAUAUAUUAAAGAAUGUUAUGUGAAGCUUGAUCCAAUGAUGGAUUGCUCUUUGAUCCAAUAUGUGUAGUCUUCUUAACAUUACUCAACAUAUUGUACUUAAAUCAAUAAAUUUUGAAAGUAGACCACCAACUCUGCCAUUGAAAGAGUAAAUUGUAGCAAUGAUCCUUCAACUUUAACCCAAUUGGAGCAAUGGUCUCUCAACUAAAAAUCCAUUACCAUUGAUUCUUCAACUUAUCAAAACGUGCAGCUAUGGUCAUUUUGGUCAAUUCCGUUAGAACUUUCGUCAAAAUGAGUCACGUAUCAUGCACGUAAGGCUAAAUCAAGAGGCAAAUAUGGAAAAUCAAAUAAGAAAAAUUAUAUAAAUGGUCCCUCAACUUUAACCUAAUUGGAGCAAUGAUCCCUCAACUAAAACUCAUUUUGACAAAAUUCUGACGGAGUUGACGAAAAUGACCAUAACUACACGUAUUGAUAAGCUUAGGGACCAAUGGUAAUGAAAUUUUAGUUGAGGGACCAUUGCUCCAAUUUGAUUAAAGUUAAGGGAUCAUUUCUACAAUUUACUCCCACUAAAAUUAGCUUUUUAAUUUUUAAUAGAUAUGAUUCCAUCCAAUAUCUUCAAUUAUUAGCAAAUUAGCUUUUCGAUUGAAAUGAUUCCUUGCAAUAUCUUCGAUUAUUGGCAAAAUGUCUUAUGUCAAACGUAUGCAGUAAAUAAACUAAAUAAAGUAAUCAAUUUAUGGUUUUUUUUAACAUUCAUUAAACAAACUAAAGUCUCUAAUGACAAGAUGUGCCAUUUGAUUGUGGUUAGGGUGGACGGCAAAAGAAUACAUAACAAUUUACAUAGCACGAUAUAUUGUUACUGUAAAGUCUCACGCUAAUAAUAUAAUUAAGAACAUAAAUUGACAUGAAACAACAUAAUAGUGGUAAUACUCAUGCCAUAUUUGUGAUACCAACACUCUAGCUGAUCCCGUCAGUGCGUAUUUGUGAAUUCAGUUAACAAAAUAACUGAUAUGCUACACUCUAGCUGCUCCUCCGGUCUUCAACCAUGCAUGUUCCCCAAGUAUGUAUUUGUGAUUCAUAUUUGACAAAAUAACUGCUAACCUGUACUUUCUGUUCCUUAGUUCUUCAACCAUGCAUGUGCCCCAGGUUUAGUGAUGAAUACCGUGCCAAGAUGGCAAGAUUAAUCACAUAAAUCAAAUCAUUUCAAUCAUAUUAAUCCUUUAGAAUUUCUUUAAAUUAAUAUUGCUCAUGUUACGUUAAUUAGGUAGAUUAUGAAAGAAGUUGAGGUUCUAUCAUAAAAUUCAUUAACAAUAUGAAGAGUAUCCCAACUCCUAAUAUCAUUAUAUGCACAUGCAAUGUCCUUUUUUUUUUUCUUUUAUAAUAUUUUGUGGUUGGAAAAUUUGAGCCAGGAGAUUAUGUUGUGGCUGGUUGAGUACUGUAUGUUGGAUCAAACUAUAUAUGCUAGUUAACCCUUGAAGAAAACAGCCACGACCUUUAACACCCCUCUUCUGCGCCUAUCCUAUUCUGAAUAUACCAUGAAAACACCUCAACCUCCUCCUGUUGUUCCCCGAUACUUGCAAGAAAAUGAACCUAGCCAAGAAGACAAAGACCUUAUAUCCUCUCUACCUACAGAAAAAGGUUGGAUUGGAAAUAGCCUUCACAAGUACCAAGGUUUUUGGCAGGCAACUGCGCACAUGCAGGGAGUUUUGGCAUGCCAGAAACACUUUCGAGCUCUAGAAUCUGAUAUCAUUCUCGUUACCACUCCCAAAUCAGGCACGACUUGGCUCAUGGCAAUUUUGUUUGCCCUAGUGAAACGAGCGCACUAUCUGGACCUUCGGCGACACCCUUUGCUCACAGAAAACCCUCAUGUUCUUGUGCCCUGUUUGGAGUUAGAUGUCUACACUGACAAACAGGUACUUCCUGACCUCUCCUCCCUGGCCCCUCCGAGGCUCUUUUCGACUCAUUUACCGUAUGUGUCUCUGCCGGAUUCUGUCAAACAUUCCGGUUGCAAAGUUGUUUACUUGUCUAGAGAUCCUAAAGAUGCUUUUGUUUCACUUUGGCACUUCGUGAACAAACUGAGACCCGUGGGUAGUGGAACCAUGUCACUUCACGAAGCGUUCGAUAAGUUCUGCCGGGGAGUGAGUUCGUUCGGACCCUUUUGGGAUCAUGUACUGGGGUUUUGGAACGAGAGCUUAAAGAGACCUGAAAGUGCAUUUUUCAUCAAGUUUGAGGAAAUGAAACAAGAGCCCGCUCUUCAACUGAGGAGGCUGGCCGAGUUCUUGGGGUGCCC